GAUGAACGCUGGCGGCGUGCCUAAUACAUGCAAGUCGAGCGAACGGACGAGAAGCUUGCUUCUCUGAUGUUAGCGGCGGACGGGUGAGUAACACGUGGAUAACCUACCUAUAAGACUGGGAUAACUUCGGGAAACCGGAGCUAAUACCGGCUAAUAUUUUGAACCGCAUGGUUCAAAAGUGAAAGACGGUCUUGCUGUCACUUAUAGAUGGAUCCGCGCUGCAUUAGCUAGUUGGUAAGGUAACGGCCUACCAAGGCAACGAUGCAUAGCUGACCUGAGAGGGUGAUCGGCCACACUGGAACUGAGACACGGUCCAGACUCCUACGGGAGGCAGCAGUAGGGAAUCUUCCGCAAUGGGCGAAAGCCUGACGGAGCAACGCCGCGUGAGUGAUGAAGGUCUUCGGAUUGUAAAACUCUUUUAUUAGGGAAGAACAGAUGUGUAAGUAACUGUGCACAUCUUGACGGUACCUAAUCAGAAAGCCACGGCUAACUUCGUG
RNAcentral lists this ribosomal RNA (497 nucleotides) under uncultured bacterium. RNAcentral's name for it is "partial 16S ribosomal RNA". It matches the Rfam family "Bacterial small subunit ribosomal RNA", at positions 28 to 507 of the family's 1533-position model. The record is from RNAcentral.